GAUCCGUGGCCUAGUGGUUAAAGUGUCCGCCUCGGAUGCAGGAGGUCAUGGGUUCAAACCCCAGCUGAGUCA
Potamilus streckersoni is the source of this 72-nucleotide non-coding RNA. Lineage: Eukaryota; Metazoa; Mollusca; Bivalvia; Unionida; Unionidae. The record is from the annotation of a GenBank genome assembly.